UGAGGCGCAAGGCGAAGGCUACGAAAGCUACUUUGCUUGAGUUCUGGCUCACUGCCGCAAUAUCUGUUGAGGCGCUUAAUACAAGGUCUACAAACACAAUGAUGAGAAUGGCGUGGUGUUUAUUCUGGUUUUCUACGGUUUUAUCACUGCAGACAAACAGAAAAACAAGGCAGCCGCUUGGACAGUAUCCACAGGACAUACAAGAACAGAUUAACCAGUGUGGCCUCCAAAGCGUGAGUG
Molecule: long non-coding RNA, 240 nt
Organism: Dermacentor silvarum
Lineage: Eukaryota; Metazoa; Arthropoda; Arachnida; Ixodida; Ixodidae
Exons: 3
Source: RefSeq, a predicted model, not a curated record